Molecule: ribosomal RNA, 574 nt
Filed under: Pseudomonas psychrophila
Lineage: Bacteria; Pseudomonadati; Pseudomonadota; Gammaproteobacteria; Pseudomonadales; Pseudomonadaceae
Description: bacterial SSU rRNA
Source: RNAcentral
AGUCGAGCGGUAGAGAGAAGCUUGCUUCUCUUGAGAGCGGCGGACGGGUGAGUAAUACCUAGGAAUCUGCCUGAUAGUGGGGGAUAACGUUCGGAAACGGACGCUAAUACCGCAUACGUCCUACGGGAGAAAGCAGGGGACCUUCGGGCCUUGCGCUAUCAGAUGAGCCUAGGUCGGAUUAGCUAGUUGGUGAGGUAAUGGCUCACCAAGGCUACGAUCCGUAACUGGUCUGAGAGGAUGAUCAGUCACACUGGAACUGAGACACGGUCCAGACUCCUACGGGAGGCAGCAGUGGGGAAUAUUGGACAAUGGGCGAAAGCCUGAUCCAGCCAUGCCGCGUGUGUGAAGAAGGUCUUCGGAUUGUAAAGCACUUUAAGUUGGGAGGAAGGGCAGUUACCUAAUACGUGAYUGUCUUGACGUUACCGACAGAAUAAGCACCGGCUAACUCUGUGCCAGCAGCCGCGGUAAUACAGAGGGUGCAAGCGUUAAUCGGAAUUACUGGGCGUAAAGCGCGCGUAGGUGGUUUGUUAAGUUGAAUGUGAAAUCCCCGGGCUCAACCUGGGAACUGCAUCCA